GAGAAUGCCGGUGUGAGUAGCGAAAGACGGGUGAGAAUCCCGUCCACCGAUUGACUAAGGUUUCCAGAGGAAGGCUCGUCCGCUCUGGGUUAGUCGGGUCCUAAGCUGAGGCCGACAGGCGUAGGCGAUGGAUAACAGGUUGAUAUUCCUGUACCACCUAUAAUCGUUUUAAUCGAUGGGGGGACGCAGUAGGAUAGGCGAAGCGUGCGAUUGGAUUGCACGUCUAAGCAGUAAGGCUGAGUAUUAGGCAAAUCCGGUACUCGUUAAGGCUGAGCUGUGAUGGGGAGAAGACAUUGUGUCUUCGAGUCGUUGAUUUCACACUGCCGAGAAAAGCCUCUAGAUAGAAAAUAGGUGCCCGUACCGCAAACCGACACAGGUAGUCAAGAUGAGAAUUCUAAGGUGAGCGAGCGAACUCUCGUUAAGGAACUCGGCAAAAUGACCCCGUAACUUCGGGAGAAGGGGUGCUCUUUAGGGUUAACGCCCAGAAGAGCCGCAGUGAAUAGGCCCAAGCGACUGUUUAUCAAAAACACAGGUCUCUGCUAAACCGUAAGGUGAUGUAUAGGGGCUGACGCCUGCCCGGUGCUGGAAGGUUAAGAGGAGUGGUUAGCUUCUGCGAAGCUACGAAUCGAAGCCCCAGUAAACGGCGGCCGUAACUAUAACGGUCCUAAGGUAGCGAAAUUCCUUGUCGGGUAAGUUCCGACCCGCACGAAAGGCGUAACGAUUUGGGCACUGUCUCAACGAGAGACUCGGUGAAAUCAUAGUACCUGUGAAGAUGCAGGUUACCCGCGACAGGACGGAAAGACCCCGUGGAGCUUUACUGUAGCCUGAUAUUGAAAUUCGGCACAGCUUGUACAGGAUAGGUAGGAGCCUUUGAAACGUGAGCGCUAGCUUACGUGGAGGCGCUGGUGGGAUACUACCCUAGCUGUGUUGGCUUUCUAACCCGCACCACUUAUCGUGGUGGGAGACAGUGUCAGGCGGGCAGUUUGACUGGGGCGGUCGCCUCCUAAAAGGUAACGGAGGCGCUCAAAGGUUCCCUCAGAAUGGUUGGAAAUCAUUCAUAGAGUGUAAAGGCAUAAGGGAGC
RNAcentral lists this ribosomal RNA (1082 nucleotides) under Staphylococcus aureus. RNAcentral's name for it is "partial 23S ribosomal RNA". It matches the Rfam family "Bacterial large subunit ribosomal RNA", at positions 1290 to 2368 of the family's 2925-position model. The record is from RNAcentral. Lineage: Bacteria; Bacillati; Bacillota; Bacilli; Caryophanales; Staphylococcaceae.